UUAAGGAGAGUUCUAUUGACAAGAAUACUGAUGGGGAUGAGGUGUCUGCUGCCUCUGCUCGGGCACCGGUUGGUUUUGCCAUUGUCGCUGCCUAUCAGUUUAGAUGGUUUAUUAGUCAGGUUGAUUAUCCACAUUUGGGAAAAGUGUCUAAUUUGGUGAUUCCUUGUGGGUUGACUGCACUUGAUCACUGGUCACCAGAGGUGAAAGGGCAAGGCAUGAUUAGUUUCAUACAUCUUGCAAAAAAUUUGAAUGAUGCG
RNAcentral lists this unclassified non-coding RNA (257 nucleotides) under Hevea brasiliensis (rubber tree). Lineage: Eukaryota; Viridiplantae; Streptophyta; Magnoliopsida; Malpighiales; Euphorbiaceae. The record is from RNAcentral.